This is a non-coding RNA of Paramuricea clavata, 258 nucleotides long. The record is from the annotation of a GenBank genome assembly. NCBI's taxonomy places the organism in Eukaryota, Metazoa, Cnidaria, Anthozoa, Malacalcyonacea, Plexauridae.
CGUGAACGGGGGGAACGUUACUCAUCAUUAAAAGCUUCCAGUAAUGCUAACCGUCCUACAGGACGUGUCAAUGUUCCAGUUUUCGUUGCAAUCUCCGCGGAUCUGAUCAGUCCGUCUUCACUUGGGAUCGGUGCAAUCACUCUUCCGAGCCUCCAAUGCGAACGAGGUACGUCCUUCUCAACGAUCAAGACAAGAUCACCGCGACGUAGAUUUCUGUGUGCAACAUUCCAUUUGCUUCGCUUUAUUAACUGCGGAAUG